ACCCACCACAGAGAAUCUUACAUAGGUUCACAUAUCUGCAUAUCCCUAUAUGCACAUUUAUGUCUAUAUAUGUGUGUAUCACUCACCAGAAACUUUGGCCUCUGAAAAUUUUCUCAUUUCCAAUUCUCCUAAGUAAAUGGAGGCCAGCCAUGAUUCUGACUUUGGUCCUUAGUAACGUCCUUAAUAGUGCCAGUUAUUUACCUGUAGUUUUUCAGCUACAUGCCUACCCUUUCACUCUGUUCCGUAAUGCUGGGGACUGGGAAUCUGAAAACUGUUUCUCAAGCUCCUUUGCCAAUUAGCUUCCUGCAAAUAGGAGGCACUACAGGAAAUUAGUGGGUUGCAGAAGGGAAAAGGGUGCUGUGUUGCUGUCUCUCACUCUCUCUCCCCCUCUACUCCCUCCCUUUUCUUUUUCUGACAAUAACUCUGGAAGAAUCUUUAGUUCCUCCUGCAAAGCUCAGCUCUGGAGUGGCAGUUCUCCUCUACUCUCCUAAGUGACGGUACCAUCACCUCCUCCCUUCUGUGACCCUAGACACAGGAGUCGCAGCUGCUUUCUAAAGUUACUAAUCUGUGGUUUAUCUCAUUUUUCCCUCUUCUUGCCUUCCAACAUAUUUCAUGUAUUAAAUUCCUUGUUUAAAAUACCUAGUGUGCUUUUUGCUUUCCUGGCUAAUACUGAAAUAUUUCCAAAAUUGGGAGAGACUCACUUUUGAAUCUAUUUCUAUUAAGAAUCAAUGAAAUGGAAUACUUUAUUAGGCUGAUUUGAAAAUGGGCUCAUGCCUACCUUUUUAGGCUAACAGGCUUUCCUGCAUGUUGAUGGGGGUUCAAAUAAAGGGCAUUUUAUUUCUUCCUGUUCUUUUCAAAAACUACAAGAUUGUUGUUCGGAAAUGCUUUGCUGAGUACCUCAGUUUACCUUGUCAUCCUUAAAAAAUUUCUGAUUCCUUUGCAUAUUUACCUCUUAAUUCUAUCUCAUUUGCUUUUAUUUCCACAUGAGCCCAACUUCAAUUUUCAACAUUUCUCCUUGACCUUCGUCUGAUCCAUCAGUGAUAUGAUUUGGCUCUGUGAGAGUCACAGGAGUACACAGCUGCGACUCCUGUGUCUAGGGUCACAGAAGGGAGGAGGUGAUGGUACCAUCACUUAGGAGAGUAGAGGAGAACUGCCUGCCACUCCAGAGCUGAGGUUUCCUGAGGCCUCCCCAGCCGUGUGGAACUUAGCCAGAUAACCAAAGGGAGGCUAACCGAAGUUAAGUAACCUACACAGGAUGAAAUAACUAGACUCCAAUUCUGCUCAGGAUGACAAUGGACUCAACAACAACAACAACAACAACAACAAAAUAGCUGUGUUGCCCAGCUUCCUUUCCAACUGGAGUCAGCUACAGGAUGAGAUUCGGGCCAAUGACAUUUAAGAAAAACUUCUUGUUGCACUUCCAAUGAUCCAUUUUAAAAGGGGACAGAUUCAUCAGCAUAUGCUUUCUGCCUCGAGUCCAGGGUUUCUCAACACUUUGGGCCAGAUAAUUCUUGCUCUGGGGUUUGUCCUAUAAAUUGUAGGAUGUUUAGCAGCAUCUUUGGCUUCUACAAAUUAGAUACCAGGAGCAACCCAUGCCCCCCUCCGCAAGUUGUGACAACCAAAAAUAUCUCCAUAUAUUGCCAAAUGUGCCCCUGGUGGCAAAAUCACCUCCAGCUGAGAACUACUGCUUUAGCCUUUCCUCUUCUUCCUUUCUGGAAUGCUGAUGCAAUGCCAGAAGCCGAGCAGCCAUCUAGUAAUCACAAGGCAACACAUAUGAGGAAAAAAUCUACAUGCUGAAGAUGGUGGGAUGAAAAGCUGAUGGCAUUCGAAGGCCAGCAUAUUAGACCUGGACUGCCUCCCUCUUUUCCCUUCAUGACAUACAGAAAAUAAAGCCCUUAUUUGUUUGAAAAAAAAAAAAAAAAAAAAAAAAA
This 1931-nucleotide long non-coding RNA is filed under the name Homo sapiens (human). RNAcentral's name for it is "PHEX antisense RNA 1 (PHEX-AS1)". The record is from RNAcentral. Lineage: Eukaryota; Metazoa; Chordata; Mammalia; Primates; Hominidae.